RNAcentral lists this long non-coding RNA (479 nucleotides) under Gallus gallus (chicken). The record is from RNAcentral. Lineage: Eukaryota; Metazoa; Chordata; Aves; Galliformes; Phasianidae.
GAGGCAGUUGAGGAGAAAGCAGCCCUGGAUGUGGUCUUCCCCUAAGGCUGGGGCCUGCUCCACAAGGGCCAGGUUACAAUCAGGGUCCUUACAGCAAGCCCUCAUGCAGUCCCUGCUCCGAUGGACCCUGGGGGACGAUAAGAAGGUGGCUCCAUUCUGGACGGAGGCAUCUGUGUCCAGCACCAAACCCGGUAUCCCUGCUGUAAAGUCCUCCAGGCACGUUUCUCCAAAGGGCUUUGUCUCCUGCUCUUCUCCGAAGACCACCCCUGCUACAAGCACCAGGCAGACCCAGAGUCCAGUCUGUCGACUUGGUCUUCCUCUGGCCAUCUCGGCACCCCGAUCCUCCCCACCUUCUGACCUUAGUCCUUUCCUGUGUGGCCUUAGAUGGGACCGAUGCCAGGAGUGGGGUGCCCCCCUGGUCCUCUACACCUUCCUCCCUCAGGUGUGCCCUCGGCAGCGUCCAGUGCAGACAAAGGCAC